Molecule: ribosomal RNA, 253 nt
Filed under: uncultured bacterium
Lineage: Bacteria
Description: partial 16S ribosomal RNA
Rfam family: Bacterial small subunit ribosomal RNA
Source: RNAcentral
UACGUAGGGUGCGAGCGUUAAUCGGAAUUACUGGGCGUAAAGUGUGCGCAGGCCGCCGAGCAUGUCGAGUGUGAAAGCCCCGAGCUUAACUUGGGAACUGCGCUCGAAACUACUUGGCUAGAGUGUGGCAGAGGGAGGUGGAAUUCCACGUGUAGCGGUGAAAUGCGUAGAGAUGUGGAGGAACACCGAUGGCGAAGGCAGCCUCCUGGGCCAACACUGACGCUCAUGCACGAAAGCGUGGGGAGCAAACAGG